CACGAACCGUACGAACGUUAUUCGGAAUCACUGGGCUUAAAGCGUGCGUAGGCGGCCUGGAGGGUGGGGUGUGAAAUCCCUCGACUCAACCGAGGAAUUGCGCUCCAAACCGCUAGGCUUGAGGGAGAUAGAGGUGAGCGGAACUAAUGGUGGAGCGGUGAAAUGCGUUGAUAUCAUUAGGAGCACCGGUGGCGAAAGCGGCUCACUGGGUCUUGACUGACGCUGAGGCACGAAAGCUAGGGGAGCGAACGGG
RNAcentral lists this unclassified non-coding RNA (253 nucleotides) under uncultured Pirellulaceae bacterium. RNAcentral's name for it is "contains 16S-23S intergenic spacer region". It matches the Rfam family "Bacterial small subunit ribosomal RNA", at positions 524 to 776 of the family's 1533-position model. Lineage: Bacteria; Pseudomonadati; Planctomycetota; Planctomycetia; Pirellulales; Pirellulaceae. The record is from RNAcentral.